RNAcentral lists this ribosomal RNA (275 nucleotides) under uncultured prokaryote. Its description in RNAcentral is "partial 16S ribosomal RNA". It matches the Rfam family "Bacterial small subunit ribosomal RNA", at positions 524 to 800 of the family's 1533-position model. The record is from RNAcentral.
UACGUAGGGGCUAGCGUUAUCCGGAAUUACUGGGCGUAAAGGGUGCGUAGGUGGUUUCUUAAGUCAGAGGUGAAAGGCUACGGCUCAACCGUAGUAAGCUUUUGGAACUGUAAGACUUGAGUGCAGGAGAGGAGAGUGGAAUUCCUAGUGUAGCGGUGAAAUGCGUAGAUAUUAGGAGGAACACCAGUUGCGAAGGCGGCUCUCUGGACUGUAACUGACACUGAGGCACGAAAGCGUGGGGAGCAAACAGGAUUAGAUACCCUGGUAGUCCCUGA